This 253-nucleotide ribosomal RNA is filed under the name uncultured bacterium. RNAcentral's name for it is "partial 16S ribosomal RNA". It matches the Rfam family "Bacterial small subunit ribosomal RNA", at positions 524 to 776 of the family's 1533-position model. The record is from RNAcentral.
UACGUAGGGGGCAAGCGUUGUUCGGAUUUACUGGGCGUAAAGGGCCGGUAGGUGGCUUUAUAAGUCAGUUGUCAAAUACCCAUGCUUAACGUGGGAGAGGCGACUGAUACUGUAGAGCUUGAGUAGAGGAGGGGAUGACGGAAUACCCGGUGUAGGGGUGAAAUCUGUUGAUAUCGGGUAGAACACCGAUGGCGAAAGCGGUCAUCUAGCCUCAUACUGACACUCAACGGCGAAAGCCAGGGGAGCGAACGGG